GCGGGAGCAAUCUCGCAAGUACAGUGGCGUACGGGUGAGUAACACGUGGGUAAUCUACCCUUUAGUGGGGAAUAACGCUGGGAAACCGGCGCUAAUACCGCAUAAGCUCGAGAGAGGAAAGCAGCAAUGCGCUGAAGGAGGAGCCCGCGGCCGAUUAGCUGGUUGGUAGGGUAAGAGCCUACCAAGGCAUAGAUCGGUAGCCGGCCUGAGAGGGCACACGGCCACACUGGCACUGAAACACGGGCCAGACUCCUACGGGAGGCAGCAGUGGGGAAUCUUGCACAAUGGGGGAAACCCUGAUGCAGCGACGCCGCGUGAGCGAUGAAGCCCUUCGGGGUGUAAAGCUCUUUCGGCAGGGACGAUAAUGACGGUACCUGCAGAAGCAGCUGCGGCUAACUACGUGCCAGCAGCCGCGGUAAUACGUAGGCAGCGAGCGUUGUUCGGAGUUACUGGGCGUAAAGGGUGUGUAGGCGGUUUUCUAAGUUUGGUGUGAAAUCUCCCGGCUCAACCGGGAGGGUGCGCCGAAAACUGGGAGACUAGAGUGCGGGAUGGGAGAGUAGAAUUCCUGGUGUAGCGGUGAAAUGCGUAGAUAUCAGGAGGAAUACCGGUGGUGUAGACGGCUCUCUGGACCGCCACUGACGCUGAGACACGAAAGCGUGGGUAGCAAACAGGAUUAGAUACCCUGGUAGUCCACGCCCUAAACGAUGCAUAUUUGGUGUAGGUCAUUCAGUUGAUCUGUGCCGGAGCUAACGCGUUAAAUAUGCCGCCUGGGGAGUACAGUCGCAAGG
Molecule: ribosomal RNA, 788 nt
Filed under: uncultured bacterium
Lineage: Bacteria
Description: bacterial SSU rRNA
Rfam family: Bacterial small subunit ribosomal RNA
Source: RNAcentral